AAGUCGUAACAAGGUUUCCGUAGGUGAACCUGCGGAAGGAUCAUUAAUGAAUUUGAAAGGAGUUGUCGCUGGCCUUUACCGGCAUGUGCACGCUCUGCUCUCAUCCAUUCUACACCUGUGCACCUUUGCGUGGGUCCGUUGGCCCUUUCGAGGACCUUUGGGCUUGCGUUUCUUUACAUCCUCUUGUAUGUAUCAGAAUGUUAUCUAUGCUAUAAAAUGCAUCUUUAUACAACUUUCAACAACGGAUCUCUUGGCUCUC
This 259-nucleotide unclassified non-coding RNA is filed under the name air metagenome. RNAcentral's name for it is "partial contains small subunit ribosomal RNA, internal transcribed spacer 1, and 5.8S ribosomal RNA". The stretch from base 1 to 46 matches the Rfam family "Eukaryotic small subunit ribosomal RNA", at positions 1786 to 1831 of the family's 1831-position model. The record is from RNAcentral.